UGUUUUCUUUCCGUAAGACUUCCAAGGAUUUACAGCUAAAAGCUAAAAAAAAAAAAAAAAAGAAAAAAAAGAAAACUUAAAACGUUGGGGCAUCCUGUGGCUUGCCUCUUGUAAGUGUUGGAAGAUGAAGGCUGGGUGGCAUCUUUCAAGCCAUGUGAGGUGGUGGGGAACAGAAGCCCAGGAAGUCCCAGAGGAAAAGAAAAACAGAGCUAUCAGGUGGGCCAAAGGCACUCGGCAGGGGGCCGUGGGUGCCUGUCAAACCGGAAUGGUUAUCUGGUCUGGCAGAGCCCAGCAUCUUGGGUGGCCAAAUAAACCUCAGAUACCGUGUUCCCAGGGACUGGGUGUGGGGGAAUAGUGUCCUUUCCCCAGAGUCUGUCUCAUGUCCCAGAACUUUCCUCUGCCAGAGGACCUGGGCUGGAAUGGGCUUGUCACCUGAGCCGCUGUCCUUUUCUGGGACAGGUUGACGCCCAAGAUCCCAAGAAAGCAGGCCCACCCAUGCAGAUGCCCGCAUGUGUGCAGCACACGGUGAGAAGGGGGAUCUUCUGGGUGGCAGAGAUGCCCCAGGCAGGUGCCCUGGAGUCCUGGGGUUAGAGACGGGGGUAUAAACUGUGCACCAGGUGGAAAAGAAGCGGUGGAAGCGGGGUCUGUCUUGGAGAGCCGGCUGGUUCAGGAGGGCAGAUAUGAGCCUCAGUUUAUAAACUCAGAAAUAUAAGAAAUAGAACUUGAAUUUCUUAAAACUCUGAACAGCCUUCCAUAGGCAUUGCCUCUGCUGUCAGAUUGGGGCCGGCGUUGGCAUUGGCAGCUGGGCAGUGAGCUCCCCCGGCCUGCGUCACUGGUUCACACUGAACUCCUUGGAGACCUUUAUCCAAGCACCGCUUUGCUCUCCUCAUAUGGUUUACCAAAUAUGUUGUUUGCUGUGCAUCUCAAGAGCCUUCUUUGAAACUAAAAUAAUCAGAAUUUAUGAUUCUAUCCCUUUCAUUUUUGCUGGAUUGCAUCGACUUCAGUGCAGUAAAUCCCAUAGAGACACACUAACCAGGUGAAGAGAGGCUGAGAAGGGCGAGGUCAGAUGGUGUGGGAGAGGCAGAGGUGGACAUUGGUCAAUAUCUCAACAACAUUACCACACCACUCUUGCUUUGGGGACUUUCCUGCCCAGAACUCUAGUUCCCUCUGACCUAUCAUGGCACUCCUCCCCUUUCCCAAACAAGUUGGUAAAUUAAGAGUACAUAUCAUCUUCCAUCCUCCAUGGCAGCAAACAUGUAACCAGGCAUUGGUGGGGGUGAGUGUCUCUGUUCCUCUCCACCAGCAAGUCCUGCCUUUGCAAUGGCCAGAACCCCUUGGAGAGUCAGGAGAGCGGGGAAGCCAACCCAGUAUUGGAAAUGACUUGAAUGGUACCAUACCAAGGGGCUGCCAUUUUGGAAUCCCCAAAGCCAUUAAAGUUAGUUUAACUGAGUCCACAUCUAGGCAGUGUGUGGUGUGGACAGAGCCUCCAAAGGCCCCAAAGUCAGGGAGAUUCCAGAUUAAAGAUCCGUCCUACGGGUCAGUGAUUCUGGGAAACUUGUUUCAUUUCUCUUUGCCUCAUCUGUACAUGGACAUGGACAUGGUUGUGAAGAUAAGGCACAGUGAUGUUCAUAAGGCCUUUAGAGCCUGUGUGGUGCUGCUGACAGUACGUUCUCUCCCUUUGUCUUAGGAAGUCCUCAGAGGAUAGAGCUGUUCCAUCUCUAGGGCUCUGAGUCUUUGUUUAAUGCUCAGAAUUCACCCAAAUGACCCUCCAAUAACUGAAACCAAGCAAACACAGAGGAAGACUCUCUGAGACGCUCCUGCCCUUCCUUGACUCUGGCAUCUGUGUAACUGGGUGUCCCUUGGCACAGACCUAAGCAUAGUGUCACUCAGUCUCUUGCAAUGCCCUGCAUUAUAGCGUAGGUGAGAGUCUCUCUCUGGUCAGAAAUGUUUCCUUAUCCAGUAUCAGUUUCUUCAGCGGACUGGCUCAGUUCCAUUUCUCAUUGCUGUGGACACUCACCUAACACGAGUACAGCUGUAACACUUGAGAGGGAAAUGCCCAAUAAAAUUCUUGCCUUUGAGCGAGCCCACUAUAGAUUGAAACCAAAAGUCUGCAGGAAGAAUGAUGGGGAGUGACUUUUUCCUUUUGAGCUACGGAGGGAGCUUUUAUGAUCCCAACGACAGCUUCUCUGAGGCAGAAAGCUGGGUUUUGCAGCCUUCUAAAUUCAAAUGAUCAAUGAGCUUUUUGUGCAUUUGGGGGUCAAGGUCACUUCCCAGAGCUCUUCUGCUCUGAGGGCAAAGAGGGCUGGGAUCACAAGGGAAAGGCCAGCUUUGUGAGACCAGAGAGAAGAGCCUAAGGCUUGGGAAGCCAGAGCCUGAGAGGACAACAGGGUCAUUUGUACAUAAGACCAUUCUUCUGUUUGUGUACGGACCUCCAAGUUAUAUGUGAGGUGUGUGUCUUUGGUAGAGGAGUGAGGCUUGUAGGCCACCUCGCCACUGGCCUAUCUGUAUCCUGGGUUAGAGGACAGCAGCCCGGCAGGGUGGAGACGAGGAAGCAGGGGGCUGAGCAGGUGAAAUUUCCAUCAUUCAUUUUUACCUUAAUGGCCUGCUCUUAGUGUGGGGGUAAUGAACUAAUAAUUAUGCCACCUGUGGCUUCAACUGUGUGGAUUUUGCUUCCUUUCUUGGGGCUGUGGGGAGCCCAGGCAGAGGUCUUUAAGGACUGGCUCAUUUUUUUUUUUUUUGCCAAGCUGUUUUCACCCUUUUUGUACCAAGUAGAAGAGGCGGUAUCUGGCCCAAGUUCCCUGCAGACUCGGGACUUGCCAUGGAGCUGAUCGCCGUCCCCACCCAGUGGAUACCAGCGGUGGCGAAGGCUCCAGGCUCGGAGAGAAGGCUGAGCUCACAGACAUGGUGGCUGGAGCUGGAGGCCACUAGCACCCUCCUCUCCCAGACCCAGGCAACAGAGGCCAGAACAGGAUGGGCGAGUGCUAAGGGGCUCAAAGCCAGUCGAGGUGGAGAUGGACCGCAGCCCAUGCCCAGAUGCAUGUGCGAUUUUUGAGCUAAAAAUCCAGUGCUCGUGUCGCCCCCUCAUUACAAGGGACGACUGCGUGUGAGGACUUCACGUUUGCUGUAUCCACCCUGCCCCGCCCUGCUCUGUGCCCCAGGAGACUGACCUCCACACACUGCCCAAAGCUCUCCCUCCCGUUCUGCUUCUGGCUGGCUCUGAACAAUGUGCCAUCCACUUCCUGCCAAGACCUUCACUGAACAAUCACUGGAAGUUCACUGGGAGAAUCUGAAGAUGGCCAUGGAUUUGCCUAACCCUUUGGCUUUGACACUCCUUAGAAGCUUCCUAAGCUCUUGAGGGGGAAUUUGGGGUUUGGAGAGGAUGGACAACUCCGUGUUAGUCGCCUUUUUGUCCAUAUGACAAAAGACCUGAGGUAAACAACAGAAAAAGGAGGAAAUAUUUAUUUUGGCCCAUGGUUCCAGAGAUUUCAGCCCAUGACCUGUGGCCUUUGGGCUUGUGGUGAGGCAGUAUCUUCUGGCAAAGUGUGCCGUGGGGGAAAGGGGCAGCCAGGAAGCAGAGAGCCAGGGAGACAGGAGGGGCCCGCCCCAAUGGCCUGACUCCCUUCCACUAGGCCCCACCUCCGGAAGGUCACAUCAGCUCCCUAUAGCGCCACCCGCUGGUGACCAAGCCUGAAUGUGUGGCCUUCGGUGGACAUAAACCAUAACAAACUCUGAAAUAACCACAGGAACUAGUAAGAGCCUUUCCAUUCUCUCUCUCUUUUUUCAUUCAUCAUCAUUAUUGUUGUUAGCGUUAAAAUAUGAAUGUCAUGUAACUCCCUUUUGACUACAAGCAAAUAAAACAAUGCAGGUUGAGUAACUCCAUCUCUCUUGCCUGGUCACCAGUUUUUCUCUGAGUGACCAGUAGGAUGGCCCGGUACACUUUCUUCUGGUCUUUUUCUAGGUAUUUUUGCAAAAAUAUCACACAUACACACACACACACACACACACACACACACACACACACAUGCACACACUGUAGACUGUAGGCACCUUCUGUCUGGUUGACAGUGCGUCAUGGUCUGAAUGCUGUACUCCCUAAUACUCACAUAUUGAAACCCUAGCCCCCAAAGGGAUUCUAUUAGGAGGUGAGGCCUUUGGAAACUAAUGAAGGCAUGGGAUUCAUGACCUUGAAAAAGAGGGCCAAGAGAGCUCUUUUGUUCCUUCUGCUAUGUGAGGACACAGCAAGAGGUCAGCAUUUUGCAGCCCAGAAGAGGGCCCUCACCAAACCUGACCACGGCGAUACCCUGACAUUAAACUUCUGCCUCCAGAACUGUGAGAAAUACGUCUCCAUUGUUUAUAACCUCUCAGCCUCUGGUAUUUUGUUAUAUCAGCCUGAGCUGAUGAAGCCCAUUUAACCCACAGGUUCUCACGAGUACCUUAUUCUUUUUCCACUGUAGUAUGAUAUUUCACACAAUGGAUCAUGAACUGUUGAAAUAUUCUGCUGAGUCUGAUGGGUAGAUUUCUUGUAAUUUCAUUUUUAUUAAUAAGAUUGUAAUAAAUACUCUAAUGUACACUGUCA
Molecule: non-coding RNA, 4576 nt
Organism: Ictidomys tridecemlineatus (thirteen-lined ground squirrel)
Lineage: Eukaryota; Metazoa; Chordata; Mammalia; Rodentia; Sciuridae
Source: RefSeq, a predicted model, not a curated record